RNAcentral lists this long non-coding RNA (476 nucleotides) under Salvia miltiorrhiza (redroot sage). RNAcentral describes it as "long non-coding RNA (SMIL_LNC012524)". Lineage: Eukaryota; Viridiplantae; Streptophyta; Magnoliopsida; Lamiales; Lamiaceae. The record is from RNAcentral.
CGAAAUCGAGAUUUAUAUAAAUAUACAGUAUCAAGCAGAAUCGAAGCCAGUAUUUUAUUACAAUUACAGAAUCACAGAGACAUAGAAAAUACAUCAUUAAUCCUAUACUACUAUUUUUUUUCUUCUUUCUUUUUCUUUCCCCACCCUUGCUCCCCACUUCAUUUUGCCACCAACUCCACUUCAUUUUGCCACCAUUACAACGCCAAUAAUUCCUUCAUCCUCCACUUAGCUCUCCACUCCACCAAACUUCCCACUUACUCCCUCCAUGUCUUUUAACAUUUCAGUCAGUAAACUUCCUUCAUUCAUUUCCUUUGACACCAGAAACCGAAAAAUUUAAGGAAAGAGUUAGAGUUGUAAAACUGCUGCCAACUUCAAAGGAGGUAAGUCUUGGCUAAAUUUUUCCCAUUUCUCCUUUAUUCACCUGCAUUUAUUAAAACAACAGCAACUUCAAAUUCAUUUCAGUUAUUUCACACUUC